GGGAGAGAAAUGAAGGACCUCCCAGCUCUAGGUCUGCCAGAGAGAGAUGGGAUACUUCCUUGUCCUCCACAAGGAAGAUCAUCAUUAUAACUAUACUCUGACCUCUCCUACCCCCAGUUGCCCUGGCACACUUGGAGACCUGGGAAGUCACAGGUGGGCCGUGGAAGGCUCAGCAUAUGCCUCUCCUUGUAAGCAGGCAGCCCUGAAGCAGCUUCCUAGGAACAAGGUCCCCAACAUGGCGGUGAUGAUCAAGUCCCUGACUCGGAGCACAAUGGACGCCAGUGUGGUUUUCAAGGACCCCACGGGAGAGAUGCAGGGGACGGUGCACAGGUUGCUGCUGGAGACGCACCAGAAUGAGCUGAAGCCUGGCUCAGUGCUGCUGCUGAAGCAGAUUGGAGUGUUUUCUCCUUCACUUCGAAAUCACUACCUCAACGUGACACCCAACAACCUGGUCCAUAUUUACAGCCCGGAUUCUGGGGAUGGGAGCUUCCUCAAGCCAUCUCAGCCCUUCCCCAAGGAUUCAGGGAGCUUCCAGCAUGAUGUGGCUGCAAAGCCCGAGGAAGGCUUCAGAACAGCACAGAACCUAGAGGCAGAGGCAUCCCCUGAGGAAGAACUCCCAGAAGCAGAUGACCUGGAUGGACUCCUGAGUGAGCUUCCUGAAGACUUCUUCUGUGAGACCAGUAGUUGAGACUGCCCCAGCGCAGGACAACCCACCGUGAGCAGGCAGCUCUGGGCAUGUCUGGUCACAUCCAAGAGGG
This 758-nucleotide small RNA is filed under the name Pongo abelii (Sumatran orangutan). Its description in RNAcentral is "retained intron". Lineage: Eukaryota; Metazoa; Chordata; Mammalia; Primates; Hominidae. The record is from RNAcentral.